CGUGGGGAUCAUUGGUGAAUCAUACAAACGUUUGAUUUCAUUGAACCUAACCUAACUCAAGGAGGCGAAGAAAGGUUUUUUUGCUCUCUUUUUUUCAACCUGAAAAAUAAAGAGUUAUACGUCCCCACCACCACAAACUAUUCCACAAAAUUAAAUAUCUAAGAAUGAAUAUUCUUUU
RNAcentral lists this non-coding RNA (178 nucleotides) under Tenthredo notha. The record is from RNAcentral. Lineage: Eukaryota; Metazoa; Arthropoda; Insecta; Hymenoptera; Tenthredinidae.